This is a non-coding RNA of Candidatus Pelagibacter sp. RS39, 68 nucleotides long. Lineage: Bacteria; Pseudomonadati; Pseudomonadota; Alphaproteobacteria; Candidatus Pelagibacterales; Candidatus Pelagibacteraceae. The record is from Rfam.
UCAAUCUGCAGGCAUUUGAACUAUAUUGUGCGCCUUGCAUAAAGCUUAAGCACUAAAACAGUGAGGAU